This 4485-nucleotide long non-coding RNA is filed under the name Sarcophilus harrisii (Tasmanian devil). RNAcentral's name for it is "lncRNA (ENSSHAG00000022069.1)". The record is from RNAcentral. Lineage: Eukaryota; Metazoa; Chordata; Mammalia; Dasyuromorphia; Dasyuridae.
CCAAUACCUCUGUCCUUUAGAAGCUCACAAACAUGGAUUACAUUAUCAAAACGGAUUGUAGCUGAGACAUAUUAGAAACAUCUACAUUUGUGUCAAAUUUUACAGAAAACUUUUAUGCAAAAUUUAAUUCUCCCAGUUCCACUCACUUUUCCUCUUCAUCAUUUCAUAAAAACUUUCCCAUCUUUCUCUGAAAUUGUCCCUGUCUUUUAUUUCUUCUAGUACAACAAUAUUCCAUUUGUUCAAUCAUUUCCCAAGUGAUGUCAUCUUUUUAAUCUCCAGUUCUCAGCAGUUAGAAAAAAACUGGUAUAAAUGUUUUUGUAUAUAUAAGAUUUAAAAAGUAGUUGUUAAAUAUAUAUAUAUAUAUAUAUAUAUAUAAAUAUACAUACAAUACACACACACACACACACACACACAUAUAUAUUUAGCUACAAUGGAGAAAAAAGAAGAUCCGAGAAGGGAUAGGCUUGCCAAGGGGACAGAUGAGACAAUGUUAUCUGAUGACAGAAAGAACUAAGAGACAUUUUGCCCUGCAAAUGAUUAAUAGGCUAAAUCAGGAUAAAUAAGGUACCAGUAGGGGAGCACUGCUGAUGAAAUCCCACUGGACCAAAUCACUAAAUUCUUAAACUGACAGAUGAGACUGCAAAGCCCUCCACUCUUGAUCCUUAAUAGACUUUGGGACAUGGAGGAAGUGUGGUAGUACUAGAGAAAGACAAAUGUACUGAUUGUCCUUCCCCCCACCCCACCACUCCCCCCCAAAAAGUGAAAGAGAACAAUGUGCAAACCAGAGCCCGGUCACAUUAAUUUCAAUUUUUGGGAAGACUCUAGAACAGAUCACUAAAUCUAGAUCAUUAAAGAUUAUUAUCUUUAAAGAUCAUUAAAGAGAUGGCUAGUGAAUAUUCAGAAAAGGAAAACAUUUCUAGAGAUCUUGCAUGAUGUCACAUCAAAAGUAGGUCAUACCACAGCUAUGACGAGUCUCAGACUCACAUAGACAGUACAGAGAGAUAGAUAAAUAGAUGGAUAGAUGGAUGAAUGGAUGGAUGGAUACCCAAUACCAUGUGAGAGUAGGCUGUGUAGAAAAUGGGGCAGAGGUAGGGGCACUAGCAGAGUCUCUUCUCUCCCAUCAUGGAAAGUCCAAGAAAGUAAGUAAGCUUCUCAACAUGGUCACCAGAGAAGGGGGUGGAGGGACAAAGAGGAACAAAUAAAAUCUUUCCCAAUGACAGACUUCCAGCUGUUUAAGACAGUGAUCAUACUUAUUCUCCUACCACCUCAAGCUUUUAGCUUAUUAGAACAGCACUAAAACACUCUACCCUCUAGUUUUGUUUCUUCCUAUCCAUGCCAAAGGGCAUAAAGAUCAAUCUCUCCCACCACCCUAAGCAGACAGCACCCCCCCUCCAUACACACAUACACACAUCCCUUCUGUUCCUCUCUCUGCAAACCUCUUCUGUUUCCUGCAGCCCAAAGCUGGGGCAGAAGAGUUUGAAGGGAAGCUUGAAAGUACCCUAAAUUGUCCCACGGUGAGCACAGGGGACAGAACACCUGGACCAAGUUCUGCCCUAGCCUUGUGUACUUACUAGAUAUGGGAUCAUGAGUACGACACAAAAUCCCAAAAUCUCCAUAGUUUCCCCUUCUUUUCUUCUUCUUGAAGGAACUGGAGUCAAAUGCCAGAGGCUGGAUUUGAAUUCAGGUUUUCCAGACUCCAGAGCCAGUACUAUCUCCCUGCUUCAGGAAACUGCAAGAUGGGGAUAAUUUCACUACCUCACUGGUUUGUUCUGAGGAAAGUGGUUUGCAAAUCUUCGUGUUACAUAAUGAGUUAAUGUUAUAGAACAUAUGAUUUAGAAAGGAUUUAGAUAUAGAGAUUAUAACCCCUGAGAGCCUAGAUCUCUUGCCAUCUGAGCAUCUGAACCCAAUCCCAGUCCCCAACCUCUUCAGUACCAACUACACGGGGGAGGGGAGGAAGGAAUCAAAUAAUAUCACCUAAAGCACUUUAUGGUUUGAAAAAUACUUUACAUAUAUAAUGUGUGUACAUAUGUAUAUACUAUCCUCAUAUCCUCAAACUUUCUGAAGUUUUAAGCUUAAAACUUUGAGGACAUCCCAUAUUAUUUCAUUUGAUCUUCACAACCACCAUAUGAGGUAGGUGCUAUGAUUAUCUUCAUUUUAUAGAUAAAGAAAUUGAGGUUAACAUAAAGUGAUUUGCCCAGGGUUCAAAUUAGUCAGUGUCUGAGGUAGGAUUCAAAUGUGUCUCCUCGACUCCGGGUCCGUCUCUCUAUUAUAUUUCCGGCUAUUAAACCCCAAAUUUGUGGGGAAGGGGGAUUGGGUGAAUCAAAGAUAUCUCAACCCUCCACACCCAUUGAGUCUCUAUCCCUCUGGACCUAGUCCUGAGUCUUACACAGCCUAGUCUCAGCGCCGACAUCUUAAGGUGAGAAAAUCCAAACAAUUUUCAGUUUAUUAUGGCAAAUAAAUUCUCUUCUUUAUCGUCUCUGAAUCAAUUAAUAUUUGUUAACAUUAACUGUCUGCGCGUCAGGCAGUGGCCAAGGACAAAAGCGAGACAAUUGCUAUUCUCCAGAAGUUCGCGCCUGUGUGCGUUUAUAUGUGUGACCCAGGUAGCAGACGUGGGUUCGCGCACAUGUUCAUACGCACCCACAUGCAAAUGUAUGCACAAUGAGGGUGGUUCUGUCACGUAGAGGUAAGCAUAUGGGUACGUGUCACAAGCACGCACAGCUUCCUUGCCAAGGAGGCCGGGGAGGUCCCGCUGCCGCGGAGCCUGGUGACCGGUACAGGACAGGCCCCGCUCUCUGGUUUAUCGCCGAUAUUCUAUAACCGGUUCUGGUCAUUUAAUCGGGUGGGUGGGGGGGGGGGGGGGAACUGAUGGUGUAGGUUAAACGGGCGCACACUCAAAAGGCACCGACAACUGGGCGGGAGGCCGCUCUUCCUCCUUGCCUGUAUCUCUCCCAGGAAAACGGCAAAAUCCCUGGGAAGCCGAGACGGGGAGCGAGCCCUGAGAACACGGCGCACACAAGGAGACGCACCCACCGGCGCGCGCGGUGUGGGCGGACUCCCGGUAUGACUAGAACGGCAGGGAGUCAGACUCACUGAGCCUCGCUGCGCUCUCCUUCCGGCGCUGCUGGUUCCGCGCUCCACUGAAUGCAGGAUUCGGACUAGCUGCAGCCAUGGAGUUCGUUUUGUUUUUCCGGUGUUCUGCCUCUAGUCGCUCGAGACCAGCCGGGCUUCCCAGGCUCUGGAGUCGCCGGCGACUUGAGCCUCCGUGAGUUUUCUCGCCGCGCAGGACCAGCGAGAGUUGAAUCGGGCCUUUGCCGUGGUGGCUGGCCUUUCUGCAGUAGCGGGAGCCUGGCUUUCGGGAAGUCCACGUGGACCGCAGGUUUGCCUUUUUAUCCUACCGCGUUCUUCGAAUGACCCUUCAUCUACAACGGACUGCUCCUUGGAACUGGACUCUAGCCUGCAUUUGUGAAAGACCACAAAACGCCAAGAAAAAUAAAAUUCAUGCUUGCUAAUGCUUCCCAGGGACUCUUGCCUCUUCUGCAUUGUUAAAAAAGAAUGAACAAGAACAGAUGUUAAGAAGCCUGGUCAUGAAGGAUCAUAUUUAAAAGCAUUGGUUCCUGUUGUAUCACCAUGGUAGACAAGAGGAUUACCUGGGUCUUAAGUCUCCUGUCCUCUGAAAAACCUCAGAGGCUUUGGUUUCUAAGAAAGAAAAGCUUCUGUCUUAGCUGACCUGCUAGUUAUUCACUGCUCCUCACUUUGGACUGAGAUUCUAGGGCUAAAGGAAUAUUUUUAAAGGAACCUGAUUUUAUCUCCCACUUCCAAGAAGUACCUGUUUCCUUAUGGCUUCUAGUACUUAUAGACUUCUGUUACUGCAUGUUCAUUGUUGUUCUUUACCAUCCUUUCUUAGCUUUCUUUACAUUACAUUUCCAUUUGUAAAUUCAGGACCCAAAUACGCUAUCAUAAAUAACAGCUAUUUAUUGGGUCGUUUUCUCUGCCAAUAAACAUUUAAGGCUUUAAUGACUAGAAUCUCCAUCCUAGGAUAAGCCCUGGUAAGCUUGCAUCUGACUUACACUGCUAUUUAUUUCCAUUUGGAAAUGCUUUGGUGGCAACAGUUUUGGAAAAACUGGGCUGCGGACCUUAGUUUGACUUGUGUUUAACAGUAUUAUUUGCUAAAUAAAUUCUAUAAUGCUUAGAAAGCAUCUUUUUGGAAGUUCCUUUGUUCUAUGCACAAAUGGCUCCAAGCUUCUAGGUGGAGAGUUCAUACCAACCCAAGUUAUUUGUGCUUUAUCACAGGUGACAGUGAAUACACUAAUUGGGUAUUUUAUAUGAUGCUGGGAGGAAGGUAGUUGGGGAACAGGAAGAAAAGUAACCAUCAAAGGUCCUAGUACUCCAUAUCUGAGCAUACUUGGAACUAAAUCCUGGAUACUUACUAGAUGUACUGGGGAAAAUACUUCACAAAUAUCAUUCCCAUGUUCACCGCUGUUGACC